GAUAAUACAUAAAUUUUAAACACAGAUGAAAAAGUGGUGUUUGCUCAUCACUCCUGGCUAUGUAAAAUAUCUUAGCUUAUUUAUUAUGGGUAGGUCUAUGUAGCAAUCAAUCAAUAUUUCCGCAGUUGAGCUUCUCAGCAAGCACACGGGUUUAUUUAUUUUGAUUAACAGAUCUCUACUAGGUGAUAUAUAUAUAUAACCCCAUUUUUGUAAUGAUUUAAAGAUUCCUACAAUAGAGGAACCCUAAAUACUGUAGAGGAAUGUGAAAAUAACUUUAGAAAGGCAGAGGAAGGAGGUUUUGAAGUUGGUCCAGGGGAGAAUAGACCAUAGGAGGCCAAGAAAGGUAAGUGAAGUCCUAUGAGAAUAGGAACUGGUAUCCCAUUCUACCCGAAGUGAAAAACAGAAAAUAUGAUAGGAGUCACUGUUUUGAUCUUGAAGAAUCUAAAUCAGUCUGGAAUAGUAAAUCUGAAUGAAAUAGGAGCAACUUUUAAAAGGGACCUGAUAAAGCGCAAGUGUCAGUAGCUACAUAUACAAAAGUGACUUCAGGGCAAAGCCUCAUUGUCAUGAACCCAGGCCCUAAUCCUUCUCAUCUCAAGAAAUCUCUCCUGUCUGCCCUGGGCCAGUGCUAUCCAGCUGCCCUCUGAAUCCAGCGCUCCUCACCCCCAGUGGGGUAUUGCCCCUUGGCAGGGUGCUUAUUUACCCCUUACUUCAAAAUUAAUCUUUUCUCCUUUCCUUCUUCCCCUAUCAAAACUUUUAUCAACUAAAACGUUAGUUAAAUUGACACUAAAGUUGAAUAGUAAUUAGCUUAAGUGUAAAGAGAAGAGGUUUAUUAAUCCAUAGGCAUCUCUAAUCAGGGAAAUGUUUCAGGGAGAAGGGAGGAGUUGGCUUUGGGAAAGGGUUCCUUGCCUGCUUCAGGGAUCCAGACACCUCCUGCCCAACCAUCCUCCAAAACAAUGGAACAAAAUAAUAAAAUAAAUGCAGCUUGGUAAAAGAUACACAGUAGGCUAACUGCCUGAGAUUUUUCUAGGCAAUAAGUUUAAAGAUCCAUAAACAGCAUGAUUGAUGGGUACAGAACCAUGCAUCAUGAGCUCCUUAUGAUGAAAGAAACCGUUAUUGCCAAAGGAAAACUUGACUUAGCACAUGACAAAGAAUUCAAAUCUACUUUCUUGUCUCUUACAAAAAUAAUAGGAUUAUAACAUCAAGAACACUUCAGUUGGCCAGGCGUGAUGGCUCAUGCCCGUAAUCCCAGCACUGUGGGAGGUCAAGGUGGGCAGAUCACCUGAGGUCAGGAGUUCAAGACCAGCCUGUCCAACAUGGUGAAACGCUAUCUCUACUAAGAAUACAAAAAAAAAAAAAAAAUGAGCUGGGUGUGGUGGCACACACCUGUAAUCCCAGCUACUUGGGAGGCUGAGGCAGGAGAAUCACUUGAACCUGGGAGGAGGAGGUUGCAGUGAAUCAAGAUCACACCACUGCACUCCAGCCUGGGCAACAAGAAUGAAACUCCAUCUCAAAAAAGAAAACCAAAAAAACACUUCGGCUAUAGUAUUAUAAUAUACCCCCCUUAUCCACAGGGGAUAUGUUCCAAGACACCCAAGGAAUGCCUGAAACCACAGAUAGUACCAAACCUAUAUAUAGUAUGUCUUUGUAUCUGAUCACUAAGACAGCUACUAAGUGACUUGGGGGCAGGCAGUGUAUACGAUAUGAAUAGGCUGGACAUAGGGAUCAUUCACAUUCCAGGUGAGAUGGAGAAGGACGAUGCAGGGUUUCAUCACACUAUUCAGAACAGUGUGAAAUUGAAAACUUAUGAAUUAUUCAUUUCCAGAAUUUUUCAUUUAAUAUCUUUGGACUACUGUUGACAGUGGGUAACUUAAACCACAGAAAGUGAAAGUACAGAUAAGGGAGGGGUACUGUAAUUCCAUAGUAGAAAUAUGAAUUUGCUCAUAAUUUUUCCUGACUUAGAAUAUCAGCCUAAUAUUGAAACAUGGCUUGGAAUGUUUUAUUAAUUUAGUAAAAAAAAACAAAUCAGUAUAAGAAAUGCUCAUUGAUCUUAAGCAUUCCAUAGGAGGAGAGUCUAAUUUCCUUACAGAUUAUGCAGACCAUUAAAAUAUGCAAAUGAAACAUGAGAUAAUAAGUUUUAUUAGUUUUUAUAGGUGUAUCACAAUAGCCACAUAUUAAAUGUGAGAAUUUGAAAUGGAAGACUUGCCAACUGCCAAGUCAUCCUAAAUGAAAGAGGAAACAAUUAGAAACAGUUGAGUUUAGAGAUAUCAGAAUGCAUAGGUGACAUGUUUAUUAUAUUUUAAAACAUGUUUGAAAGAGAAGAGAAAAGCACUAGAAAUAUUGUCACCAGUGUGAUUAUCAAUUGAAUGUUCUUUUGUUUUAAUUUGGGCCAAUGUUUUCAAUAGGUGAUCAACACAACCCAAGACCCCUGUUCCUGGGUGGAUAAACUUUCUACAGUACACCACCGCAUAGUGUAAGGAGAGGUUACUUCUUUGCUCUAUUACUCUGUUUCAUAUUUGGUUAAAGCAGGGAUUACCAGCAUGAAGUAAUGUUCAUCUGAGUUCAAGAAGAAAAUAGUAAUGCAAGCUUUGACUUCUAUCUCCAUGCGGCGAGGUUUUUUUGUCCCCAGCUGAAUUUUAGGGGCUGCAGUCUUGCAGUGAUAUCUGGAGUACUCUAUGGAUCUACAUUUGUGCCAAUCAUCUACAUCAAGGACCACAGCAAAAGAAAUGAUAGUAUAUAUGCAGGGGCAAGCCAAUAUGAUUUAGACUAUGUUUUUGCGCACUUCAGUGGCAUCUUUCUUACAAGUACUGUCUACUUUCUGGCCUACUGCAUAGCCAUGAAAAAUAGUCCUAAACUAUAUCCUGAAGCAGUCCUACCAGGAUUCCUGUCAGGAGUACUUUGGGCUAUAGCUACCUGCUGUUGGUUCAUAGCAAAUCACUCUCUGAGUGCUGUGGUCAGUUUUCCAAUAAUCACUGCUGGUCCAGGAUUUAUAGCUGCAAUGUGGGGUGUCUUCAUGUUUAAGGAAAUAAAGGGUCUACAAAACUACCUAUUAAUGAUACUUGCAUUUUGCAUCAUCUUGACUGGAGCCUUAUGCACUGCUUUUUCUAAAAUCUAACAAUGACAAAACCAGCAGGUGGCAGCAGUAGUUAAGAGAACGCGUCUAUCGGACAGCAGCGAGAUCAUGCUGAGAAAAGAGUGCAUUUUCAUACAGCAAAUGGAUCUCAGCCACUGUUGGAGUGGCUAAAUGAUUUUUUCCCCCAAAAAUGUGAGAAUGAAGGAAGAUUCAGUUUCAUUCAAGUAUAAAAAUGAAAAUUUCUUCUGAUGAACUGUUUAUGAAGGUAGUACUUUACUGGGUGACUAAAAUGUCUACAUUAUUAUAGCAUUACAUACGAGGAUGCUCUUUUUACCACAGUAUGUACCUAGUGUUGCAUAAUCUAGAACACAGUAUAGAGUCCAUAUACAAAGAAUAUGGACAAAGAAUUACAGUCCAAAUUUCUCACCAUUACCCCAGUGAAGUGAGGCAGAAAUACCUUGGGCGAGGAGGGAGAGCCUUACCUUCUAAUGGAAUUAGAUUCCAAAGAUAUUUGGAUCCUUUGUUUCAUAAAGUAAAUGCAUAGUUGGUAACUAAAUGUUAAAAAGGCCAUUUUAUUAUUGUUAGCCAAAACUUCUGUUUAUUUCAAAUUAAUAUCGCCCAACUCUACAUCAUCUACCCAUUUUAGCUCAUAAUGCUUUUGAUUAUCGCCAGAUAAAGUCCAUUCUCAGAGAACAAAAAUUUUUCAUCGAGAAUAUGUGCAUAACAUAAUACAUACAUACACAAGUAUAUUCACGUACAUAAAUACACACAGAUAUGUUGCUAAAGUGAGAUUGUAGGUUAUCAGUAACAAUUUAAAGGAAACAACCACUCUUUUGAAUGUACAAUUUUUUUUUCUGAAAUACACUUUUCUAAAACCCUCUUAACUGGAGGUUUCCUGUUUUCUUCUUGUUUUAACUGGUGGUUUCCAGUAGGCAAAAUAAAAUGACAGGCAUGCUAGUUUUUUUGUUUGUUUGUUUGUUUUUUUAAGAAAACUGAAAUUAAGCCAAGCAGGGUGGCGCACUACUAUAAUCCCAGCUGCUGGGGAGGCUGAAGUAGGAGGGUCACUUAGCCCAAGAGUGCAAAUCUGCCAGCCUAGGCAACAUAGCAAGGUCCCAUCUCUAAAAAAGAAAUUUAAUUUAAAUUUGUAAGAAAAAAGAAAACUGAAACAGAACUGCCAGUACAAUGUUUGUUGCAAUUGUUUCCAAAACUUUGAAAUAACAAAACCCCUAUUCAAAUGUAAAUUUUACCCAUUCCCACCUGAUAGUACUGUUUAUUAUUUUGCUAAGCAGGAGAAACAAAACAGCUUUUUAUUUGUGUGUAUACUCUGAAGUCAAUGUGCAUGGGUUAAAUCCCAUCUCUGCUUCAUUUUAUUUGUGUGGCUUUGGACAAGUUCCUAAGCCCUCUGUGUCAGGCCCCUCAUUAACAAAAUGGAGUUUAUGAUGGCAUCUACCUCACAUGGUUAUUGUGCGGUUGAAAUUAGUUAAAAUCUGUAAAGUAUGUGGAUGAGUAUCUGGUACUUGGCAAACACUAUGUAAUUGGUAGCUUUAUUAUUAUGUGUUGUUUGAAGGGGAAAAAACUUUUUGUAGAUUGGAGAACACCAUGUAAAAGCUACUAAGCUCACCACCUUCCCAUCCAAACAAUUAUUACUCCUCUAAAUGAAUACUACUUAAAAGUGAUGGAGCUUCUGUUUGUUUAUUGAAUUGCUAAUACAAAUAAAUAUUUGAUUAUAACUUCUUAUACUCAUUUUAAUUUUAACCUGAAAUGUCAUUAAAUUAUGCUGAUAAACUUUGAAUAAAUUGUGAUACAAAAGCUA
RNAcentral lists this small RNA (4883 nucleotides) under Pan troglodytes (chimpanzee). Its description in RNAcentral is "processed transcript". The record is from RNAcentral. Lineage: Eukaryota; Metazoa; Chordata; Mammalia; Primates; Hominidae.